AGCAGCCGCGGUAAUUCCAGCUCCAAUAGCGUAUAUUAAAGUUGUUGCAGUUAAAAAGCUCGUAGUUGAAUUUCGGGACUAAUAUGUCGGUCGUACUUUGUACGUACUAGCAUUAUUGGUUUCUCCCUUCUGACGAACCACGGUGUCAUUAAUUUGGUGUCAUGGGAAAUCAGGACUGUUACUUUGAAAAAAUUAGAGUGUUUAAAGCAAGCUCGCGCUUGAAUACAUUAGCAUGGAAUAAUGAAAUAGGACGUUUGAUUCUAUUUUGUUGGUUUCUAGGAUCGACGUAAUGAUUAAUAGGGAUAGUUGGGGGCAUUAGUAUUCAAUUGUCAGAGGUGAAAUUCUUGGAUUUAUUGAAGACUAACUACUGCGAAAGCAUUUGCCAAGGAUGUUUUCAUUAAUCAAGAACGAAAGUUAGGGGAUCGAAGACGAUCAGAUACCGUCGUAGUCUUAACCAUAAACUAUGCCGACUAGGGAUCGGAUGAUGUUAAUUUUUUAAUGACUCAUUCGGCGCCUUACG
Molecule: ribosomal RNA, 520 nt
Filed under: uncultured Glomeromycotina
Lineage: Eukaryota; Fungi; Glomeromycota
Description: SSU rRNA
Rfam family: Eukaryotic small subunit ribosomal RNA
Source: RNAcentral